Long non-coding RNA from Pipra filicauda (Wire-tailed manakin), 9658 nucleotides. RefSeq lists it as uncharacterized. The record is from RefSeq and is a predicted model, not a curated record. The transcript is spliced from 9 exons. NCBI's taxonomy places the organism in Eukaryota, Metazoa, Chordata, Aves, Passeriformes, Pipridae.
GAAAUGGCUAAAGGUUUUCUUUUUUUUUGCAAUUUUUUUUAUUUGAUACUAAAUUUUUCUUUAGCCACAAAAAACUUGAUCCGAACUCUGAACAGCAGUCAACUCACCUGCUGUUAGCUCGUCAAAGAAGCACCAGUCUAUUUUUAAUAUUUAGAAUAUUUUGAUGUGAAUUUUUGAUAGUUGAAGUGCUACAUGGUUUCAGCACUGACAGAAUUACUUCUGCCAUAGCUGUAGUGCUUUUCUCUCAAUUGCAUCCAGUCAAACAAAUAUCACGUUUUUGAGAAACAAAGCAUAUGAACAUUAUUCUGCUCAAAGUUGUCUACAUAAUCACAAAAGAUGAUGAAAGAAAUAUUUUAAAAUACAUGAAUUAUGCGCUUAGAAGACAUGUAUUCAGUCUGAAAGUCUAAUACCAUCAACUGUAGCGGCCACUCUGGUAUGGGUGAAAGGAAGCAUUAAGAAUAUAAUGGAAUGUAUAAAUGGAAGUGGAAGAAGUGUAAAGGGGAAAGCAGCCUGAAAAUGGUGUGGUUUCAUUUAGAAUGUUCUCUUUCAAAGCCCCUCUCUACAGACAACAAGUCAUUCCAUGUCCCGACCCAACUGUUCACUGUGGAGGGUGAAGGUGUGGGCAGCUGUGGUGGGCAGAGCUGCUGCCAAGGCCUGGGCAGCUGGGGCAGCUCCUCCAGCACCACGCUCACCUGGCAUUCCCAGAGACCUGAGGGGGCUUCCAGAGGUCUUGGUCUUGCUGGUGCCCUGCCCACGGAUGGGCUGUCCCCAGCACUGCUGCUGUGAGCACACUGAGUGCCGGUGGAGGAAGUGUCUGGAUCUUGGGCUGGCUGCUGUUCCUGAGCACACACUGGGUUUUUGCUCAGCCUUUACACAGUUGGGAGCAGACUCGUGGUGCUGGUACUGUGAGGGAGAAGAAUCCAGUCAUCUGCUGUGUAACUCACCGUCCUCACCUGACUGUAUUCCCAACACCCUCCUGCAGCAGUGCUGCUGGAGCGCCCACAGCUGCUCACAGCUGCUCUUUGGUCCCCCGUGUUUCCAGUGCUGGUGUUCCCCGUGCAUACUCGGGUUAUGUGAAGACAAACAUGGGACAGAUGCAUCUACUACAGCUUGUCUGUACUCUGCCCAAGUGGAAUACUGCUUUUGAAAACCUUGUAACUCGGGUGUGUUACAUUUAACAAUGAGAGUGAAAGGAUUUCUCCCAUCUCAGUUUUCUUUGAAGCUCAAAUGUAAAAUACAUAAUGAGGAUCACUUUUCUUAAAUGAAAAUACAAGACUUCAGUAUGUAAAAAAAAAAAUCCAACAUGUUACUGCUUUGACUGAACAAUCAGAACAACUGUCCUCUGCUAAACAAACCUUCUUGUCCUGGGUUAGAGUGGCAUGCAUGAAAUAGUUGGGACAUGCAGCAUGGUUUGGUUACAGAACUAGAAACAGGUACAGUUCUAGCAGUUGCCAUUGCAAAAAAAUAAUGCAGAAAAAGAGAGGAAGGGACCAUUAGCACCAGCUAGACUUUUUUGUGUGUUGGCACUACACACCCAUUUUCUGUGCUAAUAGGAGGUGUCUGUGGAAGAGAUAGUGGUGACCCACUGGCAGGUGCUCAAGCUGUGUAUUUAACAAGGGCAUUUCAGAGCCAUUGCUAGCCUGGCUUUGGGGGAAUGGGCAUGCAGGAGUGCCCAGUUCCCUGCAUGCACAGCAAGGAGCCGUGCAGGGCAUGUUGGUGAUGGAGAGUGGUGGGGAACAAGGGCAUGGGGAUCCCUCUCACCAUGGCAGAGGUGUUCUGGGGGCUGUGCCCCAGUCCAGGCUCUGCUUGGCCCAAGGUACAGCAGCUUUAACAUGAAGCCCUUAUACACUGUAACAGCAUUUCCACAGCGUUCUCGACUGCGUGGGACAGCUCUGGGAUUCCAGGCUGUCUGCUGCUCCUCCAUAGUUUUGUGAGCAUGUUUGCUAUUUUUGGAGUGCAAAUCUCUCAGUAACUUCCUGGCCCCUGGCACUAGAUGGAGCUUCAAUCUACUUGCACUUGGAAGUCGUCAAGUUUAACCACAAGUUAAAAAUAGGGAAGAAUAAAUGAAGAUAUGCAUGCCUGCUGCUACACUUACAGUGCCUCUUUCCCUGUUUGUUAGCAGAGUGGUGUAAAUUAUAAUGUAAAUUUAAUUUAAAUGAAAAUUAAAAUAUUGCAGGAGAAUCUCCUUGAUCUAGUACAUGCUUUAUAAUCACUAGCACCCUUUAAUGUACUCUGAGGCCCAUGGCAGAAAUUGCUGUAACUUAGAUAUGCUGGAAAUGUGCUGCAUAUUAAAGCUAAUGCCUAGGCUGGGCAGAAUAGAGGUAAUGCCAUUUCUGAACAAAGUACCUGGUUAUAUUUCAGGAUGCAUGUGGGUGACCACCACUUCUGUUUGCUGUGUUCUUGCAAGAAUUCAUUUGCAUUUUCCCUUUGUGCUACCAAAGCCAACAAUUCAGAAUCAUCUGUUGUCGGUCACUUCAUUUUCCCUCCGUGUGUUACCCUUAGAAAUAUUGAACAAAUGGAAAGAAAUCAGAAAAAAAAGCUUUGAAAACGCAGUGUUUGAUACUUUUCAUUUAGCAAGCACCGUAUCUCGCAGGCCACAUGCACGUAUCAGAAAUUUGAGACCAUCUCUGCCUUCCACAGAAGUAACUGGAAGUAGAUUUAGUUUUAUUCUUGUGUGCCCAUGUUCUUAUCAGCAAGAGACUGGUUCAGUUAAACCCCUUGUCCAGGCACUGAAGUAGUAGUAAGAAAAGAAACAGAAGUUGGGAACCAAAAUGGUGACACUUGUAAGAGAUUUUGUCAUUAAAGCACUGAAUACUGUUUGUUGCUUCUCUACAAAGUCUGACCUUGAAUUUGAGUCUUCUUCCAGGCCUGUCUUUGCAGAGGCUUUGUGCUGACCAGUGGGAGGACAGGGACAGGUGGGGUGCCCGAGAAGCCUCAGCAUGACAGGCAGCAUUUGUGGGGUGCUGUUAGACAUGACCUGCGGAGAAAUUGUCAUUGUGUUCUCUUCUUACCUGCUUUUUGACAGAUAAAGAAAGCUUUGCUUGUUUCUUUAAAUAAUUCUGUUAUUUAUCUCAGGAAUGCCUGUGAUGCUAACUCUGGGACAUAAGAGGAAGGUCUUUGAAAUCUCACACCCAAACUUUACAGGCUGAUUCUGUCAUUUACCAUUGCACUGGCUCUGUCACCAUGCAGCCUUCCAGAGAAGUAGGGCUUCAAUUUCUGUCAUUAAAAAAAACCCAUUUAUUAAUUUAAAAAAGAAACAUGUUCAACCAUUUUGGUUCAUCUUGAUUUCUCUUCAGUGAGCAAAUAAGGGUGCGAACCAAAAUCUUUGGUCUCUACCACAGGUGAAUAUUAAUAGGUAAGCAGGCAGUAAUUUUGUCACACUGCUCCUCUCUGGGAGAGACAAAACCACUCGUUGAACAAGAGAGGCUUAGGCAGGACAUAGGCACUGGGCUGCCCUGCAGUGGUGGGACUGACGUACUUCCCAGUGUGUUCAGAUCCUUUUCUGGGUCUCUGGAGACUGUAGUUUCAGAAAUGCAGACACUUGGGGCACAGCAGCCGGUGAGCAGGAAUGCUGGAGCUCUGAGUUCUGAGGUGGCUGGACCCUUCUGCAGGCUGUUGUGAGGAAGAGGAUAUUUGCCAGAGCAGGAAUUGGACUCGAAAGCUGCCCUGGUCUUCUGGCCUCCGAUGGCUCUUCUCUGUAUGUCCUCCCGGGUCACAGAGCUGUGCUUGAGCUGGUUCCAGAAUGGCUGGCAUGGGACAACCUGCCAGGAGCAUGGAAAGCCUGUGCUGUUGGUAACUCCCAACCCAACCUUUUGCAGGCAGCCAGCUCCCAGCUGGGGCAAGUCACUGCACCAGGCCUUCUUCUCCUUAGCAGAACAAUGUGGCUGCUUUUACCUGUUUCCUGGGCAAACGAGGGGUGUUUGGCUGCUGUACUGAGGGGCAGGGUUGUAGCAAUCACAUCGCCAGGCUUCAGGCACUUGCUGUGGGGGUCCCCUUUGGGUUUUCUUGGCUGGGUAGUGUGGGAUGGGAGCUGGUGAGCUCUCCCUCCACUGGCCUCCCAAGGGUCCCAGUGCCUCUGGCUGGUUUUGCCUGCUCCCACGUGAAUAUUGCCAGAUUCAGGGCAGAGGGACAGUAGAGCAGCAGCAAUUUCAUACUUUAAAGGCUAUUUCUAAAGAUAACAGGCUAAUAAAAACUGGUUUGCUCAGGCAAGCUUUUUUUCUGCUGGUAUUAAAACAAACCCAUUUAAAUAAUUACAACAUUUUCCCUAUAUUUCCUUUCCCUGCCAUUUUUCACAGACUCCACAGCAGUAUUACCUGCCUGCUAUUGCAAUAUAUUCCAAAUACAGUAGAGCAUCUGAUGCUGAGCAGCUGUUGUAUUUCUGUCUAGAAGAGCUCCAUGUUGCCAUGAUUACCUCGAUUGUAGAACAUGGGCUGUUUUACCUGUUGCAAGUGAAAACUUAGCAAUUCAUAGAGUAGCGUUAUUUCACUUUGCCACCAAGGGUUACCUGUCCUGAAGGAGCAGCAGGCUGUGUGGGCACACACGUAUCAGGAUGCAGUGGCUGCAGUCCCAGCACCUGGCAUUGUACAGGCCCUUGUCACAGAGAAGGUCCUUCAGUGCAUUAGUGAGGAAUUCCCUUCUGCUUUCAGAUCUGAUAGUGGUGACUUAACACUGGCUCCAGCAGCUGAGCUAGUUAAGGGAGCAGUUGUUUAGUGUGUUUCAUGGAGCUAAUGCAGUGCUAUUGCUAAAUCUUUACUGCUCUGUCACGUUAAUGCCAAAAAAGUUUCUUAAAAAACCAAACCAACCAACCACAGACCUUGCUUUUUGGCUGAGCCCCUCUCAAAUGCCCUGGGUUUUGUUCAGUUAUUUCUACUGAAUAAUUUCGGCAUAAGGUCCUUGUAAAAUUUGCUUUAGAAUGGAUUCAGUCCAGUUUUGUUUGUUAGUAAAGAACAAGUUAUAGACAGAUCUUUCUUUCUUGUUUAAUAUGUAUAAGCUCCUUUACAAGCUCUAGCCAAAGAGCAUUCAGGUAAUUACUUGAGGCACCUUUUAGUUGGAGCCACUGCUUGUAUGGGAAGUGAAACUGGUCCCAGGAGAGCGCAAGCAGCUCUUUGUGCUGUGCCCUCGGCACAGCCGGCCAAGCCCUGCCUGUUCCCCUCCACCGAGGGGACAUCUCUUGGUGCUGCAGCACUGGGGAGGAAUAACGAGGAGCAGUGUGAGAGGAGGGCUCGGGCAGCUGCCACAGCAAGGGGAGCUGAGCUGAGCUGACAUCUGUGCUUUCCCACCCUAGAGUGGAGCUGGGCAGGGAUGCAGAGGUCACGUGGCUGUUGCGGGUCACCGAUGUGUUCAAAUAAGUGCUGCAAGCUGGUGGUGAUUCAGACCUGUGUUUCCAGCUGAUGGGCAGCCUUCCUGCUUCCAGCAGAGCUUGGCUGUGCCCAAGAGGGCUGCACACAGCCUUCCUGUCCCCUUCUCCCAGCCAGGGGAACAGCAGUGACACUGUGCAUCUUUUGUGACGACCCUUGGUGUCGGGGGUCCCAGUGCCCUUCCUUAGGGCUCCCAGGGAAGGGUGUGCUGGGGAACCCAAACCUGGUCAGCAGGCAGACAGCUGAGCGCAGGGAUGUUGUGGGCUACAGGGGCUUCUGCCCUUCUGAUGGUCCUGCUCCUGCUCCCCUGCUGCAGACCAGGAAUUUUCAUUCCACAAGAGUGCUGUAAGAGCUCCUCAACCCCCUUGUCCAGCAGCACCUGGGUGCAGGGAGAGGGGCAGCACGUUUCUUCUUGCCUACAGCCCACGAAUGCAGCCUCCCACUGCUGCCCAGGCUGGCCCUACUGGGUGCUGGCAUCCCAGUACCAUGGUGACCCGCAGACAAACAGGUAACCCACUGGCAUGGCUCACGUGCUCUGGGCACACGAGGUGGGAACUGCUUUUCUUCACACGCUGCAUCAGUGUACAAAGCGAAGGCUCAGUGUUAAUCCCCCUGGGGAGCUGCCAUAGGAGCUGCCUGUUGGGACUGUGGCACCGCAAUUAGAAACAGGUAAUUAGUGAGGGAGCACAGAGGCUCUGCUCUGACACCCUGGGAGCACAUGUUCCCUUGGGAAGUGAGCAGAGCUGAGCCUGGGCAUGAGCUGUGGUUUGGGUGGAGGCAGGAGCUGGAGGACUGGCUGUGGACACUGCUGGUUCCUGUUCCUGGCCCAAGCAGAGCAUGGGUUAGUGACCAAGGCAGGAGUCCGAGGCGAUGCCCUGUGGGAGAGGGACAGGGCCCUGUGUGUGCUGUGUCCUGCUGCCACUGUCCUUUCCCUCCUCUCGGAGAGGCUCCAUUGUGCUCCUGCCCGAUAAACACACAGGAUGGAGCCAUGGCAGCAGCAGCAGCAGCAGCAGUAGUGAGGUGCCCCAGCAGUGCCUCAGAGCGCCGCAGCUCUCCUCAGAAAGAGGGAACCAUCCAAAGGCAGGGACAGCCACCGCUCCGUGAACAGCAAACCGGGUGACCUAAUUCAGCUCUGGCGGGCGGCCCUCAGCCGCUGCAUGGCGGCCGUGCCGGAGCUGACUCAUCACUUCCAGCGUGGCAGAGAUUGGAGCUUUCAGGCCCUAAGGAUUUUGCUCCUUCCUUAUUAAUUUUAAAUUGAUUAAAGUGAAUUUUUAAAAUACCAGGAGACACUUGCUUAAAGGAAUGGUUAUUAAAAAAAAGAAGGAAAUAGUUGGUCUGUGGGAGUUAACUCUGUGCUGAACGACCUCUGGCUCCUGCAGAUGUAAACACCCAUUUCAGCUUGGAGGAGUUUUAUGUCAGCUGUUCUGUCAUGGCAGAUUAGCAAGGACAGGAUUAAUCCGUCUUUAUUGUAAAAAAGUGAGAAUUAUAAAUGUCCUUGCUUAUACCCAGACACCCCCCUGGUGUCCUCAUCCAUGGCAGGGUGGUAUUACAGGCUUCUGCUCUCAGCUACAUGACUUUGUCCAGAAGUGGAGAUCUCCCAGAGAAGUGCAUCCCUGCAGGAGCAUCCUGUUCUUUCCAGCAUUGCUCAGUGCCUGACAAAGCUCCUCAUACAGUCCCGAGCCCCCCUGGGGUGGCCUGUGGGCUGUCUGUGCUAGAACAGGCUGCCAGUCCCCUGCUUGGCUUCCCGCAGAGGUUGCCAUAGCCAGCGUGGGCAGGACAGAUGGAUGGAGGAUCCUUUCUCUUGCUGUCAGAGGGCAGUUCCGGAUGAGCUUCUCCCCUGGGCUGUUCUCACCUGCUGUGCCUGCCCCAGCUCUGCCAGGGGGAACUCCCUUACACUGUGGAGCAGGAGGAUUUGCAGUGAUUUGCAGUGUAAUUGCACAACUCAGGCUUAUGCAGAUAGGUGAGGCUUUUCCCUUCUGCCUGCCCUCUUUCCCACUAGUGGGAGGUGGAUGCAGCCCAGCAGCCAGCCAGCAGCCCAGGAGUGCCCAUGGACCCACCUAAGCCAGUGCCACUAAGGACCCUUCUGUGCUGUGGUGGGCUACAGAGAUGUAGGAACCCCCUUCCUGCAGUCUGCAGAAGCAAGGUCAGAGCUCUCUCCCCAUGGGUAUUUCUCCCUGAGAGCUCAUCCUGGGGCUACCCCCUGUCAGCAUCCCACCUGCUGCUGGAGGGGGCCAGGGCUGUGCCUGCAGGGUGCACAGGGUCUGGCCCCUGGCUCACUGGCAGGGAUGGUGCUCCAUUACAGUGAACGUCAGGGCUAGCUCAGGCAGCAUAAACAGUAGAUUAAUUGAUAAAGCUUUUUGUCCUGCAAGCAAACACCAACAAAUUAAAAAUUAAAAAAAAAAAAACGAAGGUGGAAAACUCUGUGGUACUUCAGAGAAGACAGAGCAGGAAGCCAAGAGGAGUGAAGGAGCAGAAUAUGGAAUUCACCUGGAGAUAAUGAAGCAGCAGAAGUUGUCGGCCCCUUUUAUGUCUGUCUAAAAAAAGAGGCCUUUUGUUUCAGUGAAACCGAAGAAUGAAAAUUAAAAAGCUAAACAAAGCAGAAAAUUUCUGCAAAAAUAAUUUGACACUUGCUAUUGAUUGAAGGAAUGGAGCAGCAGAGUUUAACAAGUUGCAUAAAAGCACCUUUGGUCUGCUUUAAAAAUCUCUCUAAAAGAAACAGUUAUAUCACUCAUAUGCUGUUCACCUGUCUCUUCCCAUCUCUAGAUCUCAAAAGCGGAACUGCUCUAACUUCACAUGCCAAAGUAGAACCUACUUCUCCUGCCUCUGCCUUGCACUCAGCAUCCAGCCUUGCCCAUGGUGCAGUACAGCAGAUAUUGCUGUGGGAGAGCCUGGCUGGUGAGACAGUUCCUUCCUGCUCACCUCCUUGAGCAUGGAGCUGUGUCAGCUGGGAUGACUGGAGAAGCCCAUCUCUUUCCCCAUCCUCUGAGACCAGGAAAUUGAAAGUAAGGAAAUCUCAUCAGGAACAACACCCACGUGCAGGUACCAAGCCCCUGCUGCACCUGAAUUCAAUUGAUGCAAAGAAGCUGAAUUUAAAAUAUGCUCCAGAACAAAGCAAGGCCAGCUGGAGGAUUUCCUGCAGGAGAAAGGAAAAGCCUGGGGAGGCAGUGGGCCGGAAUGCUGAGCUGUGACACAUUCCUGCUGGCUACAGUCUCAUUCUGUUCCUCCCCUUACCAAGGCGGGCAAGCCCCGGGGUGUUCGCAGCGCUGCGGUGUGGCAGCGGCAGCCCGGGAAGGCGAUCCAUGCGGUGAUCCCGGCGAUCCAUGCGGGGAUUGAGUCACUCGCACAAGGUCACGCGAAUCGCUGGCGCCGCCAGGAAUAGCACCCGGAGCCUCCCGGCUCUCUCGAGCCCACCCUCGGCACUCCAGCCCGAAUUCCCCUGGUCUGAGACUUCUUCAAGCAAUGUGUCCUGCAAGGAUUAUGGACCUUUCUGCAGCAAGAUCUGAAACAGCCAGAUUCCAAUUUAAAUCAAAGUCCCUAGGAUUCACUUCUGAUUUCCAGUAAGGCUUCUUUAAGCGUGGCUCUGCUGCACACAAGAAAAUCACACCACAGGCUGGAGUGAGCCAGGAAGUCUUGUCCCCAAGUGGCUUUAUGCUCUUCAAAGAUACCUGAAGGAGCCAGAGAAGGUUUCAGGGAAUUUCAGGUGGCAGGCAGGAGUCAUGAGCCCGAGGUCCCUCCUGUGUGACGCCCCAGGUCUGUCCCGACAGCAGCGCUGGCCGGUGCUGACAGAGUAACUUCAGCUGGGAUCUGUGGUACUGCUGUGUCCCUGGCUGCUGAGAGCAGGGAAGGAGGGCUCCAUCUACUGCUGUGCGGGGAGAAGGCAAAAAUAACCGGGAUGACAUUCCUCUGCUGCACAGAAAAGCUACUGGGUACCAUGAACUCCAGGUACAGACUUCUCAGGAUUUUGCCUGCUAUCCCAGACUAACACUUCAGAAGUGCCACCAAGGAAACUUCUCUGCAAAUCUCUUUCUAUUUCAAAACUUCUUAACUGAAUAAUGUGAGUGGCCAGAUACAUUCCUGCCUGUUGAAGCUCACAAUAGAAGAAUGUUCAAAAGGAAAAGGAAAAUAUUUGGAAAGUAUUUUUUUUACUAUCACACAGACCUGGAAAUUGUAUCAGCUGAGGAGAUACACCAGUUGUUCCUUCAGCUACAUUUUUUGUGCUGGCAACCUGCCCUGCAAUUUCCAGGGACAGCAAACCUGUGAGACAGAUGCACUCACUGUGUGACUGAGGAUGCUCUCCAGCC